Molecule: small RNA, 232 nt
Filed under: Arabidopsis thaliana (thale cress)
Lineage: Eukaryota; Viridiplantae; Streptophyta; Magnoliopsida; Brassicales; Brassicaceae
Description: ATSL174540
Source: RNAcentral
GGAAAACUCCACUUACAGAAUUCGAUAGGCUAAUGAGCAUUACGAUAUUAAAUUAUCAAACACAUAUAGAUAAUCUCCUUUAAUUUUCAUCUACUCAGAAUUGAACAUUUUCAUAAUCUGCAAGUUCUGCUUUAUCUUGUCUGCUUUCAUUGGAAAUGAAAUGGUAUAUGUUGGUCGGUAAAAGACGAAUCAAAUUUGUAAACUAACAAUGAACUAUUGAAAGAGUAAAUCU